GACGAACGCUGGCGGCGUGCUUAACACAUGCAAGUCGAACGGGAUUUAGUAGACAGAAGCCUCGGCUAAAGAUUACUAAUGAGAGUGGCGAACGGGUGAGUAACGCGUGAGCACCCUGCCUAUGACAGUGGGAUAGCCUCGGGAAACCGGGAUUAAUACCGCAUAAAAUCGUAGAAACACAUGUUUUAACGGUCAAAGAUUUAUCGGUCAUAGAUGGGCUCGCGUCUGAUUAGCUAGUUGGUGAGAUAACAGCCCACCAAGGCGACGAUCAGUAGCCGGUCUGAGAGGAUGAACGGCCACAUUGGAACUGAGACACGGUCCAAACUCCUACGGGAAGCAGCAGUGGGGAAUAUUGCACAAUGGGGGAAACCCUGAUGCAGCGACGCCGCGUGAACGAAGAAGGUAUUCGUAUCGUAAAGUUCUGUCCUAUGGGAAGAUAAUGACAGUACCAUAGAAGAAAGCUCCGGCUAAAUACGUG
RNAcentral lists this ribosomal RNA (478 nucleotides) under uncultured bacterium. Its description in RNAcentral is "partial 16S ribosomal RNA". It matches the Rfam family "Bacterial small subunit ribosomal RNA", at positions 28 to 507 of the family's 1533-position model. The record is from RNAcentral.